UUUGUUUUUACUUCAAACAGAUAACAACACAAAGAUUAGUAAUCAAGUAGUAAAAUCUUUAUUUCGCCCAGGCGGGUGUGGCUGUCACUCUUACAGUAUGUAAAAUACAGACUAUACAGAGAAACAUAGAAACAUAGAAA
Amblyraja radiata (thorny skate) is the source of this 140-nucleotide long non-coding RNA. RefSeq lists it as uncharacterized. The record is from RefSeq and is a predicted model, not a curated record. Lineage: Eukaryota; Metazoa; Chordata; Chondrichthyes; Rajiformes; Rajidae. The transcript is spliced from 3 exons.